Molecule: long non-coding RNA, 474 nt
Filed under: Panax ginseng (ginseng)
Lineage: Eukaryota; Viridiplantae; Streptophyta; Magnoliopsida; Apiales; Araliaceae
Description: long non-coding RNA (PGIN_LNC007291)
Source: RNAcentral
AAUGCCCAAGUUGAAUUCUUGGCACCGCAAUAAAAUAUCACAAAUUUAAAUUGAAUAUCUUUCUAGGAAAACCCAAAUCUGAAUUCAAAUCAAAAUCUCUCAAAAUAAAAGUGAAAAUGUUGAAAAGAGAAAAAAGAAAUACCUUGUUACCUGAUUUUGUUGGUAUUCUUGUCGAUGAUAAUAUCAAAAGCCAUGGUUGGAUUAGAGAGAGAAAGUUCCAAACAGAGGAAGAAAACGAGAUUUGAGAAGAGGGUGAAAAUCGAGUUUGUACAUUAUGUUGUUUCUAUUUUUGAUCUGAUCCGAGAAUUAUAUGUUUUUGUCCAGCAUUCGAUCUUGCUUCUAGGUCGUCCGCAACAUUGAUAGGUUACACUUUAGAUCCCCUAAAUCGAUCGAUCUCCAGGUCAACAUUGAUAGGUGAAGAAGAAGAAGAAGAAGAAGAAGAUUGGUGGUGCUAUGUUAAUUUUUAGAAAUCCG